AAAGGUGAAAAGUAAAGAAAGAUAAAGAUUUUUGAUAAUAUAAAUAGUUUAUAUUUUUAUGAAAAAUGUCAUAUAUAUCAUCUGAUAAUAUUAGUGUUAUUUGUUCGAUAAAUAAAUUCAUGAUAUCAUAUAUUUGUUAAUUAAUUUUUUAAAACUAAAUAUACAUCAAAUUUAUGAUAAUUAAAAUAAUUAAAAUAAUAUUGUGAACAGGUGUGACACAUUAUUAAUUUAUAAUAAUGUGAUUGAUAUAUUGUAAAUAUAUAUAUAAUACUUUAAAUCGAAUGCUGUUAUAGAAGAGCUAAAAUACGUUUAGAAUAUUCAAUUUAAAUGUCGUUUUUGCCGUCACGUUUAAUUAUAUUCCAACAGAUAUUCCGUGAAUUUAUAUUUUAUAAAUCAUAUUCGUAUAUAUAUACACAUACAUAUAUUAAUAAUAUAUUUAAAAAUACGAUGUGAAAUAUAAAUUAUAAAAAUGUAAACAAAUUUAAUGCAUAAUUUCAAAAGAUUGCUAAGAAUAAUACGUAAUAACACGUAACGUUAAUGAUUAUAACCUAUAUGAAUGUUGAAAAUUUGACAGUAAAAAAAAUAAAAAAAGAAAAUCAAUGAUUUGAAACAAUAAAUAUUUUAAUAAGUGGAUUAUGUCGAAGAUGAUCCGUUCAAUACGCGAAUUGAUUAUUCCGGAUUCUUUCUCAAAAAGUAUGACGUCUUUUGAAAAAAACGUAGAUGGAGAAUAAGAUGAUCAGCAAAAGACGAACGAAGACAAUGGAACGAAGAAUGAAACGAAUGGAGAUACGAUGAAUGCAGAAAUAUUGAGAGAAAUAGGGUUCGUGCGAAAUGCUGAGAAAAGGAAAAGAGAAAAGGAGAAGAGGACAUAGAGAACGAUGAGGACAUAGAGCGCAAAAGAAAGAGAAGAAAGAAAGAACGAUAAGAGAUGGGAAGGAGAAGAGCGGUUCGCGCGAAGCGAAUGACUGCGAUUCGUUCAAUUAUUGGUUGGCACCGAAAGUGCUGGGUCUGGCUCGCCUGCCAAAUGGGAAAUAGCCGGCGAACUGCGGAGACAAGCUACAGCCGAUGCUUCUACGAAUUCUGUGCGCGGGAAUCUUCGGAUUGUAUUUUCUAUUCUCUCACUGACUAUGGUAUAAACUAAGGGGAGUAUAGAAUCGCUCGUGCGACGUAAACGACAAUCGCCGAAUUAUAAUUUGACUUUCUAUAAUUUUUUCCCUUUCGGUAUCUUCUCUCAUAUGGACUCCGGCCUUUAUUAAGAAUCGAUAACGAAUGAGAUUCGUUGGGAUUAGGACUCAUGAAUCGUUUCAUCGUUUCAUCGAAUAAUGAAAUAUUACAUAUAAUUCUCUAAUAUGCGUCAUAUAUUACACUUAUUGUACACAGUUUAUAUAUUAAUGAUUCGAUGAUUAAUUCGAAAUUUGAAAAUUGGAAGUCAUUUUUUUGUUCGAUUUCGCAUAAUUUCGAGAGACUCCGUAAAAGUCUAAUAAUUUCAAUCUCAUUUUCCAUAAAUUUUAAUUAUCAUAGUUGUAAAAAUCUUUAUUAUUCUUUCGAAUAAUUAUGAUUUGUAUUUUUUAUACGAUUAUUUUAUACGUAUUAUUACUUUUUGUAGAAAGUUGUAAAAUUUUUUACCGAUCGAUCGUUUCUUUUUACAUUCUUUGCCCUUGUGUCGUUCUCAUGUGAGUUAUAACAUGCACUGAAACUGUAUAAAUGAUAUCAUUAACGAAGUUAAAGUGCUGACGCGUUGAGAAUAACUCGAACCGUUGAUCCACAAUUUUCUCAGUCGAGAUUCUUCACCUUUUGAGAUCGAUGCGUUCAUUUCCGAUAUCCCGUACCCUAUCGCCAUAGGUUAAACGAAGCACUGGUGGCCAUUCUACGGGAUUCAAAGAAUUCAAAGGAUUUAUUAAUUUUCAAAAUUUAUAUGUACGUUACAUUUACAUUUUACAUAUAAAUUUUGCUGAAUUGAAAAUAGUUUAGUAUGGUCAGUAAUUUCUCCAGAUUUUUGAUCAUACAAUUUUUUUAAGAUAAGAUUACAAUAUACAAUACAAUAUACAAUAUACAAUGUAUAUAUUGUAUAUACAAUAUACAAGAGUACAAUAUAAAUAGUUUUUAAUAUAAAUACUUUAAAAAUACAAUGAGAUUAGAAAAAUUAAAGAAUAAUUAAUACAUAUAAAGAAAUAAUAUUUAAAAUGUUAAAGAAAAUGAAAAGCAAAUUAAAGAUAUAUUUUCAAUAAUGGAGGACGUUGAAAAAUAGUCUCUUUUGUUUCUCAUCUAUUAAUAUUUUUGUUUCUCAUUUUUGUUACACAAAAUUGAUUUUUCAAAACUAUCACAAUAUAUAAAUUCGAUAAAGCAAUCGAAGUGUAACAUUAAUGAUAAAAGCACAAAUGUUGCAGAAAAUUUGAAAGUUAAAUAAUUUUUUAAAACGUUUCACAUCAAUAUAAAGAUACAUAAUAAAAUAUAUAGAAUUCUAUUUAAAAAUUUAAAGAUGACUUUUAUACGAUAAUUCAAAUUCAAACAUUUAUUAUCAUAAUAUAUGUCCAUCGAUAUCAUAAUUUUGUCUCAAACAUUUUAUUGAAUUUCUGAUAUUAAUAAAAAAAAUCGUAUUUAUAUAUCUAAAAUAUAUCCGACAUAUUAUAUAUUCGAAAAAUAUUUAUGUAUAAUGUAAUAAUGUAGAACAUAAAUAAUUUAAUACAAUGCAUAUUUAUUAUAUAUUUAGUCGAAUCGUAUGUAAUUGAUUAAAUUUAUAAUCUGUAUUGAUCGGCGAUUUUACGUGUAUCACAGUAUAUUUAAUUAAAAAAUAAAUAUAUUAAAAUGUUAUACAUUAUAUGUUAUAAGUAUACAUGUAUUUCAACAUAUAUGUUUCAAUAUAUUAAUAUAAAUGUUUUAAUAUAUGACUUAAUAUAUUGAAAAACACGAAAAUAUUAAUUACAUAUGUAUAUUUUAGAUUAUGAAUAAAAUGGAUAUUAGAAUUAAA
Apis cerana (Asiatic honeybee) is the source of this 2968-nucleotide long non-coding RNA. RefSeq lists it as uncharacterized. NCBI's taxonomy places the organism in Eukaryota, Metazoa, Arthropoda, Insecta, Hymenoptera, Apidae. The record is from RefSeq and is a predicted model, not a curated record.